This 119-nucleotide small nucleolar RNA is filed under the name Echinops telfairi (small Madagascar hedgehog). RNAcentral describes it as "Small nucleolar RNA SNORA61 (ENSETEG00000025905.1)". The record is from RNAcentral. Lineage: Eukaryota; Metazoa; Chordata; Mammalia; Afrosoricida; Tenrecidae.
ACUCUCCAGAUUCCUUACCCCUCAGAUCUAAAUAUUGGUUCAAGCAGCUGAAAAAGGAGGAAAAAUGAAACAAGUGGACUUGGAGCCCUUAAGGACAUACAACUUCAUUUCAAACAUAA